Molecule: ribosomal RNA, 235 nt
Filed under: uncultured bacterium
Lineage: Bacteria
Description: partial 16S ribosomal RNA
Rfam family: Bacterial small subunit ribosomal RNA
Source: RNAcentral
CGCUAGCCUGGGCGCAGCCUGAUGCAGCGACGCCGCGUGGGUGAUGAAGGCCUUCGGGUUGUAAACCCCUUUCGACGGGGACGAUGAUGACGGUACCCGGCGAAGAAGCACCGGCUAACUCCGUGCCAGCAGCCGCGGUAAGACGGAGGGUGCUAGCGUUGUUCGGAAUCACUGGGCGUAAAGGGCGCGUAGGCGGCUCUGCCAGUCGGCUGUGAAAACCCCGGGGUCAACCCCC